This 514-nucleotide long non-coding RNA is filed under the name Nicotiana benthamiana. RNAcentral's name for it is "long non-coding RNA (NBEN_LNC028308)". Lineage: Eukaryota; Viridiplantae; Streptophyta; Magnoliopsida; Solanales; Solanaceae. The record is from RNAcentral.
UUUUUGGUGAGGCGCACCUCAUUUAUUUUAAAGAAUCGUCAUAUAGUGACUAUGUUUUCUAUUUCGUUCGUCUCUAAAAUAAAAGAAGAAAAGUACCUAAUUUAUUUACAUGCUUGAGGGUUAUUAUAGCUAAGUUUCGAAUGCGACUCAUUGAAUCUGAAAAUAGACAUGUAUGCGGUCAGAACAGUUUAACAAAUAUGGGCCCAUGCCCACUGUAUAUGACGUGAAAUUGGACCUGGGCCGUCCCUACGCUAGUUGCGGCCCAGAUGAUUUAUUCUAUGUUUUUGACAUUUUGCAAAGGCUGAAAUGUGAACCAGUUAUAUCUAAUUUAACCUGUUCUUAUGAGUCUAGAUGAACAACUUGUUAACUGAAAUAGAUUAAGCUACUGAGUAAUUAAUCCUAAGGCCUAACAUGCAUUUAGAGUAUACCUUUUAUAAACAAAAAAGACUGAGGAGGGAGAAUAUUACUACUACAUCACAUGUCUUCUUUAACUAGCAUACAUAGGGACUUUAUU